MicroRNA precursor from Oryza rufipogon (brownbeard rice), 207 nucleotides. It matches the Rfam family "MIR812 microRNA precursor family". The record is from Rfam. Lineage: Eukaryota; Viridiplantae; Streptophyta; Magnoliopsida; Poales; Poaceae.
AAAAAAGGCAAACACUGGUUUCCGUGUCCAACCCAACUUUAACUGUCCGUCUUAUAUGAAAUUUUUUUAUAAUUCGUAUUUUUAUUGUUGUUAGAUGAUAAAACAUGAUUAAUAUUUUAUGCAUAACUUGUCUUUUUAUUUUUUUAUAUUUUUUUAAAUAAGACGAACGGUCAAACGUUGAGCACGGAAAUCAGGUUUGUCUUUUUU